This 248-nucleotide ribosomal RNA is filed under the name uncultured prokaryote. RNAcentral's name for it is "partial 16S ribosomal RNA". It matches the Rfam family "Bacterial small subunit ribosomal RNA", at positions 439 to 700 of the family's 1533-position model. The record is from RNAcentral.
UGAGGGAAAAAGUUUAUUGAUUGUACCUCAAGAAUAAGGGGUUGCUGAACUCGUGCCAGCAGCAGCGGUAAUACGAGUGCCCCAAGCGUUAUCCGGAAUCACUGGGCGUAAAGGGUAUGUAGGUGGUUGUGUUAGUUUCUUGUUAAACCUCUCGGCUCAACCGAGAAUCUGCGAGAAAUACGGCACAACUUGAGGAUGCGAGAGGUGUACGGAACUCAUGGAGUAGGGGUGAAAUCCGUUGAUACCAU